RNAcentral lists this unclassified non-coding RNA (375 nucleotides) under uncultured bacterium. RNAcentral's name for it is "contains 16S-23S intergenic spacer region". The record is from RNAcentral.
UCCGAGUUGACCCCGGCAGUCUCCUAUGAGUCCCCGCCAUUACGCGCUGGCAACAUAGAACAAGGGUUGCGCUCGUUGCGGGACUUAACCCAACAUCUCACGACACGAGCUGACGACAACCAUGCACCACCUGUACAGGAUCCCUUGCGGACCCGACGUUUCUGCCGGUUUACCCUGUAUGUCAAGCCUUGGUAAGGUUCUUCGCGUAGCGUCGAAUUGAACCACAUGUUCCACCGCUUGUGCGGGCCCCCGUCAAUUCCUUUGAGUUUCAGUCUUGCGACCGUACUCCCCAGGUGCAGGACUUAACGCGUUAGCUCCGGGACGCUCCACGAACGUGAAGCACCCCAAGUCCUGAUCGUUUAGGGCUAGGACUAC